Long non-coding RNA from Frieseomelitta varia, 1142 nucleotides. RefSeq lists it as uncharacterized. The transcript is spliced from 4 exons. Lineage: Eukaryota; Metazoa; Arthropoda; Insecta; Hymenoptera; Apidae. The record is from RefSeq and is a predicted model, not a curated record.
CGAAAGAUGAAAUUUUUUUAUCGAUUUAUUUGCCUGUGCCACACGUGCAAUAUUUCUAACAAAUUUCGAGAGUUUUUAGUUUAAGGUUCGUUGAUGCAACGUUGAAUGCAGUUUUAAGAUCGGCGACUAACUAAUUUGACGAUGUUACUUGAACAAUCAAUUCUACUCGAAAAAUCAACGUCUUGAAAAUCAACUGAUUAAUGAUAGAAGAUAAAACGUGAGGACGUUGAGACAAAUUGACUGUCUGAUACACGGAGUAUUCUACUUUCGUCUUUGUCUUCUCAAUAAGAGAAAAGAACGAAUUCCACGAUUACUAUUAAUAUGGUACAACGACCUGAUGGAAUUAACGUGUGUAAAUUAAAGUGUGUUAAAUUAAAGUUAUUUCAAAUCCAAGAAGAUGUAGCGAUACUGCAGGAAGAAUGAACAAUGAAUUAUUGGUUACAAUUUAUAUUUAUGUAACAAUCAAUAGUCCCAUGUAAUUAUGUAACAGUUUCAUCGAGGAAUGAUCUGUGUGGAAGAAACUAAGUUCGAUCAUUUCAAAGGGGAAACGCAGUUUGUGAACAACAGGUGCUCAGCGAUAAAAGAGACGGAGAAUGCAAAGAGGGGUAGAAUGGAAAACGCGCAGGCGUUUUGUCGGCUCAUGAAUACACUCCAUGCAACAACAUUCAACAUUAUCUGAUGGAAAAAUUUUUUUUAAAUCGGAACUUCGCUAAAAGUUCUUGAGCCAUUCGAGAUAGGGCGUGUAGUAAUAUCGGCUUGAUAGCGGGCUGCACAAAAAGCUCCAGCUGUUUCUCUAUUAUUCUUGAAGGUGUUAUUUCUUUCCCUCUUUGCUUCUUCCUUGCCCCCUUUUAGCGAUGGGAACGACCUUAUAUAUUUAGAACGAAACAAACCUUAUUUUUACACAUUUGAAAUUAAUUAAUUAAGAUGAAUUCUAAUUGUAACUAUGAUCAAUUCUUGCUAACUUUUCCAUAGAAAAGAUUUGCGUAGUUACGCUUGCGUGUCUAAUUAUCAGAUAGAUUAGAUCAGAGCUAUUUUUAAAUUCUAAUUUGUUCGACAUUUCAACUAUUUGCAGAUGAAAUCAUAAUUUCAUUUCGUAUCAAACGGAUGUGAUCCUAAUUAAUAUAGAAAUACGAUACUUGACG